Monodelphis domestica (gray short-tailed opossum) is the source of this 67-nucleotide non-coding RNA. The record is from Rfam. NCBI's taxonomy places the organism in Eukaryota, Metazoa, Chordata, Mammalia, Didelphimorphia, Didelphidae.
GUAAAAAUGGCUGAGCUAGGCAUUUGAACUGUAAAUUCAAAGACAGAGAAUAACAUCUCUUUUUACC